GUAACAAAGUGAAUUCUCGAAAUCCGAGAGUUGCACUUCGUCCAGGAUCGACUAAUGGUCGAGUGAGUACCCCUCGGAGAAGCUAAGGAUGCACGAAACCCAAAAAGUGCAUUGGAAUGGAGUCCGCGAGAGCAAAGAUGCAGAAUCUGCAUCUUUAGCAGAUUUGCUCUCGGGGACCGGUCUCUGGCAGGAGAGACCGGUCCCAUCGGCUGAGGGUUGCAGGGUUGCUGAUGCAACCAGUCCCUGGCAGGGAGGGACCGGUCCCCGCAGG
Molecule: long non-coding RNA, 271 nt
Filed under: Ananas comosus (pineapple)
Lineage: Eukaryota; Viridiplantae; Streptophyta; Magnoliopsida; Poales; Bromeliaceae
Description: long non-coding RNA (ACOM_LNC042995)
Source: RNAcentral